Molecule: unclassified non-coding RNA, 208 nt
Filed under: Hevea brasiliensis (rubber tree)
Lineage: Eukaryota; Viridiplantae; Streptophyta; Magnoliopsida; Malpighiales; Euphorbiaceae
Source: RNAcentral
UUGGUUGGAGGUGGAGGAGUAAGGCGGCGAAGAGGAGGGAGAGGAAGAGAGGCCGUUGUGUUUGUGUUUCCAUUUUCGGUGGUGUCGUGUGUUUUUUGAGAAUGAGCUGAGCGAGUGGCUUCUUUGGGAUUGGCGUGCGAGGUUGAUGCCUAUUUAACUGAUCCAUUAGGAGGAGAUGGUUUGGCUGUCCUGGUGGAUUACUUUUGUG